Panicum virgatum (switchgrass) is the source of this 595-nucleotide long non-coding RNA. RefSeq lists it as uncharacterized. NCBI's taxonomy places the organism in Eukaryota, Viridiplantae, Streptophyta, Magnoliopsida, Poales, Poaceae. The record is from RefSeq and is a predicted model, not a curated record. The transcript has 2 exons.
AGUAGGCUAGCUCAGCUAGGGUCGUCGCCAAGUUACUUACUACUAGUACAACUAAUUAACGGCGGGCCUGCAUCUAUCACCCGGUGUGCCGCACCGGCGCGGUAAACGGGCCAAGAACGUACGACAGACGAUGGCUUCCGGCGGCGGCCGUUCAGCAGCAGCGCUGAGCAGGAAGAAGAAGCCGACUAGGUUUGUUGCCUGCGUGAUGGCCCUGGUGGUUGUGCAGCUGCUGCUCCUGAUGAUGGCCACGCCCGCGGCUUCGCAGUGCUGCAGCGGAUGCUGGUGCCCGAUAACCCCGGAAUGCUGCACGCCGACGGCCAGGCCCUGAUGGCCAAGGGCACGUCUGAUCAUCGUCUCUCCGUCGUCCCGGACGCUUCUGUAAUUUCACAGUCACUCUGUGUGCGCGUACGUUCGUGUCUGCGUGUGCUUUUGAAUAAAUCCCAUCCUACGCCCUGAUCCCACGGGGCCGUUGUGUGCUUCCUGCUCCUAUCGUUGAAUUGAAGAAAAUGCAUGUCAUGUUACUGUCGUUCCUGGCUGUUCAAUGUUGAUGAAACCAACCAUGCAUGACGAGAUGGUCCUGCAUGAUUUAUUACUG